AACGCACGAGACCUGCGGACCUGCGGAGGGAUCAUUACAAAUCAUGGCGAACCUCGUGUUUCGCGAGGUUUUGCGUCCAUUAAAGUAUUUAAAACAUCCACUCUUAAAAAAUUUAUCUAAUGAUAAAAUAAAAAAGAUAACUUUUAACAAUGGAUCUCU
RNAcentral lists this unclassified non-coding RNA (159 nucleotides) under soil metagenome. Its description in RNAcentral is "partial contains 5.8S ribosomal RNA, internal transcribed spacer 2, and large subunit ribosomal RNA". The record is from RNAcentral.